UUUUUUCACAGCUUUAUUGAGACGUGCUUAACAGACCGCCGUCCACCCGUUUAGUGUGCAGUUCCCUGGUUUUGGUGUGGCGACGGACUGCGCUGCCAUCGCCAGUCGUUUCAGGGAUCGUCUCAUCUCAAAAAGAAACCCUCCACCUGUUAGCUGUCACCCCCACCCAACACCCCAGCCCUCAGCAGCCACGAAGCUAAUUUCUGUCUCUACAGCUGUCCCUGCUCUGGUCCUUUGGUGCAAAUGGAUGCAGGGGUUGCGGGGCCUGGCGGGUCUGGGUCCUCAGGGAGCGCGUUUCUGGACGCGCCAGCCUUCCUUCCGCACAGACCUACCCUGUCUGCCUGCCGUGUCCCGGCCACCAGGUGCCUCAGAGGCAGCAGCAGGGGCACAGAGCCCUGAGGAGAAGACGUGGGGUGGAACCUGGGCGACGGUGACGGUCCGCGGGGCUGGGGUGGGGGUGGGGGUGGGGGGGCUUCCCGGAGGAGGAGGCCUUUUCCUGGAGAUGAGACCAGGGAGUCUGAGCCCGUGAGGGAGGGGGUCUGGGGGGAUCCGAGCGGCUGGAGGAGCUGAGGGUCUUUGAGGAGAAGGAUGGAGGGGGUGUGGGGGCCGCGCGGUGGCGGGCAGCGGAUCUCUGGAAGGUGCCCGUUACAGGUGAAUGACUGAGGGACGAUUCCGGGAAGGCCGCGCACAGGGGCCCCUGCCUGGCAGUAGGAGCUCUCGGGCCUCCGAGACGGCAGUGCCUGUUACUUCUGACACAACCGGCCGCAGAGGCAGGAGAGAGUCGGGGUGAGCUCACCCGGGGCUGCAGGCCCGCGCCCCCCCACCCCUGCUGGCUGUGCCACCUUGCGUUGCGCAGGGUGUGGGGACACGGGUCUGGAGAAUGGGGCUAGGAACGGUUGCUUACCGAGAUUCUGGUCCAGGGUGGUGACGAUGGACAGCUCUGAGCUCACCUCCUCCCACGGGCACCCCAAAGUUCCAACUAGCAGCAGAUCAACCAUGGAUGAGAAAGACUGGAAUCCAGCAGAGGAGGUCGGCACUAAAGAGAAGGAGAGGCAGAGCCACGGAACAGGCAAGACCCAUCCCCAGCCCGGAGGGGGCGACUCACAAAUGGGAGAAUGAUUACAGUUGCAGAGGUUCCCCCCAAGGAGCGAGGUGUCUGGGCCCCACACCAGGCUCUGCAGCCCGGGGUCCCGCAACGGGAAGAUGAGCCCCCAGCAGAUCGAUCUCUGAAGGCCAGAGGUGCUUAUGUUCGGGGGACCCAGAGGGCUGUGGGAAAUAGGAGCGCCGCCCUUAAAAGGUGCACACACUCUGAGGCCCAGGGUAGAAGCCACAGUUUGAAAGGAGCCCGGGUCAGAUCCACCUGCUAAUCCUGGAGAGUCUCCCGGGGAGGCAGGAGGCAACUGGAGCUCCCCCUGGGGACACGCACAAUGGCAGCAGCUGUUUUGGCCGCUCUUUCUACCACGUGGACCCUGGUGCUGGCGAGCGCCAUUUAGGACUCCUCCCUUGCGCUCAUGAGGCCAGGACCUGCCCCCACCCGCCAGCCUGCCGGCGCCAGUCCUGGGACACCUCAGGCCAAGCAACUAGCUGGGCGGGGACGCGGCUCCACCCAUCAGUGGACAGGCUGCCUUAAGGCCCCCUGAGCCUACAGCUAUCCCUGGACAUGGCCCUGUCCAUCAGAAGGCCCAGGACUUGGCCCCACACACCAGUGGACAGGCACUAGACUUAGGACUUCUAGGGCCCUGCAGCCAGAGAUUCCUGGGACCCAGGUCCACCCACCAGAAUCCCUUGGGCCCUGGGCCUUCCCAUAAGUGUGUCGGAUCUAGUCUCGGGACCAGCUUCAUAGAUAAGUGGGCAAGCAUUAGCUCAGGAAACCCUGAGUCCUGGUGUGCCUACCGGGAGGAGGACCCCAGCCUGAAGACAAACAACCCACAACCUUCCAUAGAAGGAUGCAGCCUACCUACUGGCAGGCCAGCACCCCCACCAGCAGGUCAAUACCAGCUCUGAGACACCUUGGCCGCUCAGCCAGUUGCCCUGGGAUUCAGACCCACUCAGCAGUAGACUGAUACAAGCUCUGGGACCCCUGGGUCCUGCAGCCAGAGAUCCCGGGACCUAGCUUUGCCUACCAGGAGCUUGGCACUAUCCUUUGGAUCUCCUGGACACCAAACCUACCUGCUAACAGGUGGUCACCAGCUCCGGGACCACUGCAGCCCUGAAGCCUGCCUUGUCAGGACCCAGUCAACACACCAGCAGCCUUGGACCCUCCAGGCCUGGGCCCCACCCACCUGCAUGCCAACACCACUUCUGAGACACCAAGGACUCCUCAGCAAGCCACGCUGGGAACCAGCCCCACUCACCAGUGGGCCUGUACCAGCUUUGAGACUCCCCAGAACUUGCAGCCAGUCAUGUCUGGAACUGGCCCUACCCAUCAGGAGAGUGACAAUAGAUCCAGGAACCCUGGCCCUACAACUACCCACCUCAGAACCUGGCUCUGCCCACCAGUGAGCAGCACUAGCUCCAGGAGCCCUAGGGUUCUGCAGCCAGCUGCUUUGUGACCUAGACACCAACCAGUGGCUGGCAGCCUCCACACAAGGCAGAGGUUGGAUACCAACUGGAUCUGGGGCCAGCCAGACCUACAAGACCACUCCAAGUAGUCAGCCCACCAUAACAGAAGAACCCAUGCAGCCCACGUAGGGGACAUCCCUGGAACAUGCAGCCCUGGUGACCAGAGGGGAAUGCAGUGCUGGGACGUCAUAGGACAUUUUCUGCAAAAGGCUAUUUCUCCAAGGUUGGGACAUGUAACCAAGCUAUCAGAUAUACAGAAAUAGGAGUUCUUGUCGUGGCGCAGUGGUUAACGAAUCCGACUAGGAACGAUGAUCCCUGGCCUUGCUCAGUGGGUUCUUAACCUGCUGAGCCACAAAGGACGCUUCCAAAAAUUCUUGACUGCUAAUUUUAUCAUCUGGCUCAUUCCUCGAUUAGUUUUGAUUUUUCUCCUUCCUGUUUCUUUUAUUUCUCUUUUUGCAUCUUUGGUAAUUUUUGAAUGGAUGCUGGAAAGUGUGAAAUUUACCUUGCUGAGCACUGGGCUAUUUCGUGUUCUUGUAAGUUUCUUGAUCUUGGUGCUGGGAUCUUACUUGGAAACCAUCUUGUUCAUUCGUCUUGCUUCUAAGCUUUGUUAGAUGAGACCAGAGUGGCAUUUUGUUAGGAGUGAUUUCCCCUACGACUAAAGCAAAACCCUUCUGAGCACUCUAUCUAAUGUUAAGUGAAUAAUGAGGUCUUCCGCUUUGGUUGACACAAAUCAGCAGUAGUUUCUGCCCUAGAGUUCUCAAGAUUUUGCUUCUAAUCCUUUCAUGCUGCUUUUCCUCCAGGCAUGGGUCUUUCUCACCUGCGUGUGCAGAUGAGCACUGAGUACUUGAGAGCAUCCCUGUCCCUCGCAGAGGCCAGAGCUCUCUGUGCAGCCCUGUCCUCUCAGAUACUUUGCCUUAUGAAGUCAGGAAGACCACUCAACUCUCCCUGGCUGCUCCUUUCCCAGGCUGUGACCUGGCAGUGUUCUCUGGGCAGGAAACUGGGG
Molecule: long non-coding RNA, 3565 nt
Filed under: Sus scrofa (pig)
Lineage: Eukaryota; Metazoa; Chordata; Mammalia; Artiodactyla; Suidae
Description: lncRNA (ENSSSCG00050015530.1)
Source: RNAcentral